RNAcentral lists this ribosomal RNA (527 nucleotides) under uncultured bacterium. Its description in RNAcentral is "bacterial SSU rRNA". It matches the Rfam family "Bacterial small subunit ribosomal RNA", at positions 355 to 902 of the family's 1533-position model. The record is from RNAcentral.
UGGGGAAUCUUGGACAAUGGGGGCAACCCUGAUCCAGCCAUGCCGCGUGAGUGAUGAAGGCCUUAGGGUCGUAAAGCUCUUCGCCUGUGAAGAUAAUGACGGUAGCAGGUAAAGAAACCCCGGCUAACUCCGUGCCAGCAGCCGCGGUAAUACGGAGGGGGCUAGCGUUGUUCGGAAUUACUGGGCGUAAAGCGCGCGUAGGCGGACUGAUCAGUCAGGGGUGAAAUCCCGGGGCUCAACCCCGGAACUGCCUCCAAAACUAUUGGUCUAGAGUUCGAGAGAGGUGAGUGGAAUUCCAAGUGUAGAGGUGAAAUUCGUAGAUAUUUGGAGGAACACCAGUGGCGAAGGCGGCUCACUGGCUCGAUACUGACGCUGAGGUGCGAAAGUGUGGGGAGCAAACAGGAUUAGAUACCCUGGUAGUCCACGCCGUAAACGAUGAGUGCUAGAUGUUGGGAUUUUCGGAUUUCAGUGUCGCAGCUAACGCAUUAAGCAUUCCGCCUGGGAGUACGGUCGCAAGAUUAAAACUC